GGUGGCGAGUGGCGAACGGGUGAGUAAUAUAUCGGAACGUACCGAGCAGUGGGGGAUAACUAAUCGAAAGAUUAGCUAAUACCGCAUAUCUUCUGAGGAGAAAGCAGGGGACCAUUUGGCCUUGCGCUGUUGAGCGGCCGAUAUCUGAUUAGCUAGUUGGUGGGGUAAAGGCCUACCAAGGCGACGAUCAGUAGCGGGUCUGAGAGGAUGAUCCGCCACACUGGGACUGAGACACGGCCCAG
Molecule: ribosomal RNA, 242 nt
Filed under: uncultured bacterium
Lineage: Bacteria
Description: partial 16S ribosomal RNA
Rfam family: Bacterial small subunit ribosomal RNA
Source: RNAcentral